GACGAACGCUGGCGGCGUGCUUAACACAUGCAAGUCGAACGGGCCCGCCCCUGUUUUUGGGGGUGGGUUGAGUGGCGAACGGGUGAGUAUCACGUGAGUAACCUGCCCCCUGCUCCUGGAUAACUGCUUGAAAGGGCGGCUAAUACGGGGUGUGCCGGCUGGUCCGCAUGGGCCUGGUCGGGAUAGUUUCAUCUUCGGGUGUUUCGGUGGGGGAUGGGCUCGCGGCCUAUCAGCUUGUUGGUGGGGUGAUGGCCCACCAAGGCGGUGACGGGUAGCCGGCGUGAGAGGGUGGGCGGCCACACUGGGACUGAGACACGGCCCAGACUCCUGCGGGAGGCAGCAGUGGGGGGUAUUGCACAAUGGGCGGAAGCCGGAUGCAGCGACGUCGCGUGAGGGAUGGAGGCCUUCGGGUUGUGAACCUCUUUCUCCGGUGGUGAAGGCCCUGUCCGUUGCGGCGGGGUUGACGGUAGCCGGGUAUGAAGCGCCGGCUAACUACGUG
This 499-nucleotide ribosomal RNA is filed under the name uncultured bacterium. RNAcentral's name for it is "partial 16S ribosomal RNA". It matches the Rfam family "Bacterial small subunit ribosomal RNA", at positions 28 to 507 of the family's 1533-position model. The record is from RNAcentral.